UCCGCAAUAGUUUAGUGGCUAGAAUUUCCGCCUGUCAGAACAUUUAAAGUUCAGCACGCGGGGGACCGGAGUUCAAUUCUCCGUUGCGGAG
Molecule: transfer RNA, 91 nt
Filed under: Yarrowia lipolytica
Lineage: Eukaryota; Fungi; Ascomycota; Dipodascomycetes; Dipodascales
Also listed under: 1 other name
Description: tRNA-Asp
Rfam family: tRNA
About the family: Transfer RNA (tRNA) molecules are approximately 80 nucleotides in length. Their secondary structure includes four short double-helical elements and three loops (D, anti-codon, and T loops).
Source: RNAcentral